UGAGCAAUCUGCCCUUCUCUUUGGAAUAAGCGUUGGAAACGACGUCUAAUGCCGAAUACGACCUCCUUUCGCAUGAUUGGAGGUGGAAAGCUCCGGCGGAGAAGGAUGAGCUCGCGGCCUAUCAGCUAGUUGGUGUGGGUAAUGGCCCACCAAGGCGACGACGGGUAGCCGGCCUGAGAGGGUGACCCGGCCACACUGGGACUGAGACACGGCCCAGACCUCCGUACGGGGAGGCAG
Molecule: ribosomal RNA, 237 nt
Filed under: uncultured bacterium
Lineage: Bacteria
Description: partial 16S ribosomal RNA
Rfam family: Bacterial small subunit ribosomal RNA
Source: RNAcentral